CCUACGGGCGGCAGCAGUAGGGAAUCUUUCACAAUGGGCGAAAGCCUGAUGGAGCAACGCCGCGUGCAGGAUGAAGGCCUUCGGGUUGUAAACUGCUUUUAUAAGCGAGAAAUAUGAUGGUAACUUAUGAAUAAGGAUCGGCUAACUACGUGCCAGCAGCCGCGGUCAUACGUAGGAUCCGAGCAUUAUCCGGAGUGACUGGGUGUAAAGAGUUGCGUAGGUGGCAUAAUAAGUAGCUGGUGAAAUCUGGUGGCUCAACCAUUCAGACUAUUAGGUAAACUGUUAAGCUCGAGACCGUUAGGGGUAACUGGAAUUUCUAGUGUAGGAGUGAAAUGCGUAGAUAUUAGAAAGAACACCAAUAGCGUAGGCAGGUUACUGGGACGGUUCUGACACUAAGGCACGAAAGCGUAGGGAGCAAACGGGAUUAGAUACCCUUGUAGUC
RNAcentral lists this ribosomal RNA (442 nucleotides) under uncultured bacterium. RNAcentral describes it as "partial 16S ribosomal RNA". It matches the Rfam family "Bacterial small subunit ribosomal RNA", at positions 338 to 795 of the family's 1533-position model. The record is from RNAcentral.